GUAGGUGGCAAGCGUUGUCCGGAAUUAUUGGGCGUAAAGCGCGCGCAGGCGGGUCCUUUAAGUCUGAUGUGAAAGCCCACGGGCUCAACCGUGGAGGGUCAUUGGAAACUGGGGGACUUGAGUACAGAAGAGGAAAGCGGAAUUCCAAGUGUAGCGGUGAAAUGCGUAGAGAUUUGGAGGAACACCAGUGGCGAAGGCGGCUUUCUGGUCUGUAACUGACGCUGAGGCGCGAAAGCGUGGGGAGCAAACAGGAUUAGAUACCCUGGUAGUCCACGCCGUAAACGAUGAGUGCUAAGUGUUAGGGGGGUUUCCGCCCCUUAGUGCUGCAGCUAACGCAUUAAGCACUCCGCCUGGGGAGUACGGCCGCAAAGGCUG
RNAcentral lists this ribosomal RNA (375 nucleotides) under uncultured organism. Its description in RNAcentral is "partial 16S ribosomal RNA". It matches the Rfam family "Bacterial small subunit ribosomal RNA", at positions 527 to 896 of the family's 1533-position model. The record is from RNAcentral.